This 415-nucleotide ribosomal RNA is filed under the name Brachycaudus lamii. RNAcentral's name for it is "eukaryotic LSU rRNA". Lineage: Eukaryota; Metazoa; Arthropoda; Insecta; Hemiptera; Aphididae. The record is from RNAcentral.
GAGGUCGGAAAGUAUCGGUUGGUUUUUUUUUUUUCCUUCAUUCAAUUACACGGCAGUUUGCGAUCCGCGCUCCGUCCGUACGGUGACCGGCCGCGUCCGCUUCUCGGAAGCCGGAGAGGUCCGUACGACUCUCAGCCGACCCGGCCGCGCUCUCACGCGGCGGGCGGACGGGGACGUGCCGCUUGACGACGCGAGAACCCGUGACUGUUUGCCGUCACAACUUGGGCGGACGACCGGAGGCGGCCGCCGGAGCGGUUUUCCCCGGUCGAACCGCCAAUCUCGCACCACCGGAGCGGACGACGGGCGGCCGUCGGUCCCCGGGAGGACCGCCACCGCCGUCGGACGCCUGCCGGCGGCACAUCGGUCUGGCCGAGUAUCCGGUAUACGACCCUCAGACAGGCGUGCCCGGGACCCG